RNAcentral lists this ribosomal RNA (433 nucleotides) under uncultured bacterium. RNAcentral describes it as "partial 16S ribosomal RNA". It matches the Rfam family "Bacterial small subunit ribosomal RNA", at positions 29 to 507 of the family's 1533-position model. The record is from RNAcentral.
AACGAACGCUGGCGGCAUGCCUAACACAUGCAAGUCGAACGAGACCUUCGGGUCUAGUUGCGCACGUGUGCGUAACGCGUGGGAACCUGCCCUUAGGUUCGGAAUAACUCCCCGAAAGGGGUGCUAAUACCGGAUAAUGUCUUCGGACCAAAGAUUUAUCGCCUUUGGAUGGGCCCGCGUUGGAUUAGCUAGUUGGUAGGGUAAAAGCCUACCAAGGCGACGAUCCAUAGCUGGUCUGAGAGGAUGAUCAGCCACACUGGGACUGAGACACGGCCCAGACUCCUACGGGAGGCAGCAGUGGGGAAUAUUGGACAAUGGGCGAAAGCCUGAUCCAGCAAUGCCGCGUGAGUGAUGAAGGCCUUAGGGUUGUAAAGCUCUUUUACCCGGGAUGAUAAUGACAGUACCGGGAGAAUAAGCUCCGGCUAACUCCGUG